AUCCUUUUUCAGUUCAUAAGCGUGAUGAUUGGGUUUUCAUGUGCAUAUGUGAGAUGUGCCUCCCUCAAAACUUGUUACAUUGGCGCAUUUCCUGUCUGACA
Saimiri boliviensis boliviensis (Bolivian squirrel monkey) is the source of this 101-nucleotide small nucleolar RNA. RefSeq annotates it as small nucleolar RNA U13. The record is from RefSeq and is a predicted model, not a curated record. Lineage: Eukaryota; Metazoa; Chordata; Mammalia; Primates; Cebidae.